UAUUGUUCUGAGAUCUUGGUAGGUGGCUGGCAGUUUGAUCCCAGCUGAUAAUGAUCUGUCCUCCUUCCUGCUCCUGACCUUCCUCUCCUUCCCUCCCUCACUCAUUCUCUCUCUCUCUCUCCCUCCCCCCAGGUGUGCCCACUGAUCCACACCUUACUCUCCAACCUGGAUGGGCGUAUUAUUCAGGACAUCAUUGAUAAAUUUCAGAAGGAAGACCACGGGCCUAAUGCUGCCUGAAGAGAGAGAUGAGGAAGACUGCUGGUGAGGCCCACCUGAAGAUCGGUUCCAGUGGCUCAAUGGUGUCCCUUAUAGCAUUUCCAUCCUGGCAGAUGCAGCCACCUUCCAAUCAGAGUGACAGCCUGAGCACAGCCAGCAGCCCUCCCAGACACUCCUCCUCACAGUAGGAACGGCAGCCUCUGUGCUCACCACCCUCCAUCCCCUGCAAUAAAAAACCAUUUCUGCACCCUCCUGUGUGGCA
Molecule: long non-coding RNA, 478 nt
Filed under: Vulpes vulpes (red fox)
Lineage: Eukaryota; Metazoa; Chordata; Mammalia; Carnivora; Canidae
Description: lncRNA (ENSVVUG00000004975.1)
Source: RNAcentral